This 1528-nucleotide ribosomal RNA is filed under the name Klebsiella pneumoniae. RNAcentral's name for it is "bacterial SSU rRNA". It matches the Rfam family "Bacterial small subunit ribosomal RNA". RNAcentral also lists the same sequence under 2 other names. Lineage: Bacteria; Pseudomonadati; Pseudomonadota; Gammaproteobacteria; Enterobacterales; Enterobacteriaceae. The record is from RNAcentral.
AGAGUUUGAUCAUGGCUCAGAUUGAACGCUGGCGGCAGGCCUAACACAUGCAAGUCGAGCGGUAGCACAGAGAGCUUGCUCUCGGGUGACGAGCGGCGGACGGGUGAGUAAUGUCUGGGAAACUGCCUGAUGGAGGGGGAUAACUACUGGAAACGGUAGCUAAUACCGCAUAAUGUCGCAAGACCAAAGUGGGGGACCUUCGGGCCUCAUGCCAUCAGAUGUGCCCAGAUGGGAUUAGCUUGUAGGUGGGGUAACGGCUCACCUAGGCGACGAUCCCUAGCUGGUCUGAGAGGAUGACCAGCCACACUGGAACUGAGACACGGUCCAGACUCCUACGGGAGGCAGCAGUGGGGAAUAUUGCACAAUGGGCGCAAGCCUGAUGCAGCCAUGCCGCGUGUGUGAAGAAGGCCUUCGGGUUGUAAAGCACUUUCAGCGGGGAGGAAGGCGUUGAGGUUAAUAACCUUGUCGAUUGACGUUACCCGCAGAAGAAGCACCGGCUAACUCCGUGCCAGCAGCCGCGGUAAUACGGAGGGUGCAAGCGUUAAUCGGAAUUACUGGGCGUAAAGCGCACGCAGGCGGUCUGUCAAGUCGGAUGUGAAAUCCCCGGGCUCAACCUGGGAACUGCAUUCGAAACUGGCAGGCUAGAGUCUUGUAGAGGGGGGUAGAAUUCCAGGUGUAGCGGUGAAAUGCGUAGAGAUCUGGAGGAAUACCGGUGGCGAAGGCGGCCCCCUGGACAAAGACUGACGCUCAGGUGCGAAAGCGUGGGGAGCAAACAGGAUUAGAUACCCUGGUAGUCCACGCCGUAAACGAUGUCGAUUUGGAGGUUGUGCCCUUGAGGCGUGGCUUCCGGAGCUAACGCGUUAAAUCGACCGCCUGGGGAGUACGGCCGCAAGGUUAAAACUCAAAUGAAUUGACGGGGGCCCGCACAAGCGGUGGAGCAUGUGGUUUAAUUCGAUGCAACGCGAAGAACCUUACCUGGUCUUGACAUCCACAGAACUUAGCAGAGAUGCUUUGGUGCCUUCGGGAACUGUGAGACAGGUGCUGCAUGGCUGUCGUCAGCUCGUGUUGUGAAAUGUUGGGUUAAGUCCCGCAACGAGCGCAACCCUUAUCCUUUGUUGCCAGCGGUCCGGCCGGGAACUCAAAGGAGACUGCCAGUGAUAAACUGGAGGAAGGUGGGGAUGACGUCAAGUCAUCAUGGCCCUUACGACCAGGGCUACACACGUGCUACAAUGGCAUAUACAAAGAGAAGCGACCUCGCGAGAGCAAGCGGACCUCAUAAAGUAUGUCGUAGUCCGGAUUGGAGUCUGCAACUCGACUCCAUGAAGUCGGAAUCGCUAGUAAUCGUAGAUCAGAAUGCUACGGUGAAUACGUUCCCGGGCCUUGUACACACCGCCCGUCACACCAUGGGAGUGGGUUGCAAAAGAAGUAGGUAGCUUAACCUUCGGGAGGGCGCUUACCACUUUGUGAUUCAUGACUGGGGUGAAGUCGUAACAAGGUAACCGUAGGGGAACCUGCGGUUGGAUCACCU